This 279-nucleotide ribosomal RNA is filed under the name uncultured bacterium. Its description in RNAcentral is "partial 16S ribosomal RNA". It matches the Rfam family "Bacterial small subunit ribosomal RNA", at positions 506 to 784 of the family's 1533-position model. The record is from RNAcentral.
UGCCAGCCGCCGCGGUAAUACGGGAGGUCCUAGCGUUGUUCGGAAUUACUGGGCGUAAAGAGUAUGUAGGCGGAAUAGAAAGUUAGAAGUGAAAUCCCUGGGCUCAACCUAGGAAUUGCUUUUAAAACUCCUAUUCUAGAAUUCAGGAGAGGAUAGUGGAAUUUCCAGUGUAGAGGUGAAAUUCGUAGAUAUUUGGAGGAACACCAGUGGCGAAGGCGGCUCACUGGCUCGAUACUGACGCUGAGGUACGAAAGUGUGGGGAGCAAACAGGAUUAGAUA